CUGGAGCCUGGCUGCACUUCUCCUAGACCUAUUGAAGAGUGACUGCCAGUGGGAAAGGAUCUCUUCUGGAGAUCCCUCCUCUGGAGUUUUGCAGCGAGCCCAGGAUGUGGGACAAGGAGUGGAGAUGGCAGAACCUGAGCGGCACUGAUGUGAAGAGGCAGUCAGGUCCAGUUGGGUAUUGACUCCUGCUGUGAACGUCCAACUCCCAUUGCAGUCCAGGAGCAGAAGGGCUGAAUGUGAUGGUGAAGAUCCUCCUCUGGCUUCUUGCUCUAUCUGGACAGAAGGACAUUCACGCUUCACUCUCAUACCAGAAACAAGCCUUGCUUCUCUGUCGGUGUGUGCAGAUGGUGCUGGGCCAGGGCAAUGCUUGCUGCUGGCAUUUGGGGCUCAUGUGGGACAUGAGCUUCUGGAGGCAGUGGUCACAGCACCCCAAGCCUGUCCCUAAGAGCACGAUGCAUUUGGGUAGUUGGGUUGCAGCAGUAGGUGCUGUGUGGGGCAUUCCUAAAUUAGUGAACUGUUAGAAGAUACCAAUAGUUGUUUAAUGUGGCUGGCUUAGGCUCGUUUGGGUCUUUUGGUAACGCUUCACGUAGUUUAGGAAUUAGAGAGGAGCUUAAAACUGCUGAAGGCUGCUCAGGCACUGGAUUGUUUUGUAUAUUCUCAACUCAUCGCCAACUCAUUGUGGAGCUCCUGUGCUCUGAACUGCCAUGUUCAGCCCAGCAGGUGCUGCUCCUUCUUGCAUUGCAGCCUCCAGUGGGCUCUCAGCAGCUGCAUUUCACUUUUGGAAGUUGUUCAAAUGACCCGGAGCAUAAAUGUGCCUGGAUAUGAGUGGUGGAAGGUGCAGCUCUUGCUGAUGGUUCCUUAUGCUUCUUGUGGGAGUGCACAACCAUUGCUACAAUUUAGCCAUCAUUCAAAAGAUACGGCUUUGCUUUAUUUUAAAAUAAAUCAGGUGUUUUCAUGUAUUCGCUCCCAACUGGCAGCAGUAACUUUUAAUUGAGCUGUGAUUAGCUUCUUAAGCUACCUGAAUCUGAUGGCAGAAAUACGCUGCACCUCCUGCAACUGGGAAAUUGAUUGCUUGACUGUGCAUUGCUGGUGGUAAAUGUGGUACUUCUUAACAUGACAAUGGAUCGAUGGCUCAGGGGGUUGAUUUCUUUCUUUUGAAACAAGGAGAGCUGAGUAUGUCCCAACCCACUGCUGCCUACCAGGAGAGGUGGAGGGGGGGGGAAGAAGAAAAAACAAAAGGGAGAUGCUGAAUAUCAAAAUUUGAAGCAGAUAUGAUAAUGUCUCUCUACAAAUUAUCAAUUAUUUUUUUAUUGCCUUAGUGAUGGCUCCAGCUCAGCAUUCUCGGUCUUCCCUUUGCCUCCCACAGAUGUUAAAAUUGUGUAUAUAUUUAAAAAACAGACAUUGAUACAUGUGCAGUAAUUACGCCAAACAGCUGUUAAUGAACCCUUAC
Molecule: long non-coding RNA, 1450 nt
Organism: Lagopus muta (rock ptarmigan)
Lineage: Eukaryota; Metazoa; Chordata; Aves; Galliformes; Phasianidae
Exons: 3
Source: RefSeq, a predicted model, not a curated record